This 65-nucleotide transfer RNA is filed under the name Bacillus atrophaeus. RNAcentral describes it as "tRNA-Glu". It matches the Rfam family "tRNA". From Rfam's summary of the family: Transfer RNA (tRNA) molecules are approximately 80 nucleotides in length. Their secondary structure includes four short double-helical elements and three loops (D, anti-codon, and T loops). RNAcentral also lists the same sequence under 1 other name. The record is from RNAcentral. Lineage: Bacteria; Bacillati; Bacillota; Bacilli; Caryophanales; Bacillaceae.
CCGUUGGUCAAGCGGUUAAGACACCGCCCUUUCACGGCGGUAACACGGGUUCGAAUCCCGUACGG